Molecule: ribosomal RNA, 433 nt
Filed under: uncultured bacterium
Lineage: Bacteria
Description: partial 16S ribosomal RNA
Rfam family: Bacterial small subunit ribosomal RNA
Source: RNAcentral
AGCGAACGCUGGCGGCAGGCCUAACACAUGCAAGUCGAACGGAUCGUUCGGGAUUAGUGGCGGACGUGUGAGUAACACGUGGUAACUUGCCCUUUGGUUCGGUACAACUCAGUGAGACUUGAGCUAAUACCGGAUGUGCCCUUCGGGGGAAAGAUUUAUGGCCAUUGGAGCGGCCCGCGUCUGAUUAGCUAGUUGGUGAGGUAACGGCGCACCAAGGGGACGAUCAGUAGCUGGUGUGAGAGGAUGAUUAUCCACACUGGGACUGAGACACGGCCCAGACUGCUACGGGAGGCAGCAGUGGGGAAUCUUGCGCAAUGGGCGAAAGCCUGACGCAGCCAUGCCGCGUGAAUGAUGAAGGUCUUAGGAUUGUAAAAUUCUUUCAGCGGGGACGAUAAUGACGGUAACCGGAGAAGAAGCUCCGGCUAACUUCGUG